CUGAAUGAUCCGAGUCAAAGUC
Molecule: microRNA, 22 nt
Filed under: Ananas comosus (pineapple)
Lineage: Eukaryota; Viridiplantae; Streptophyta; Magnoliopsida; Poales; Bromeliaceae
Description: microRNA s1302_c034b
Source: RNAcentral